RNAcentral lists this transfer RNA (97 nucleotides) under Streptomyces acidiscabies. RNAcentral's name for it is "tRNA-Ser". Lineage: Bacteria; Bacillati; Actinomycetota; Actinomycetes; Kitasatosporales; Streptomycetaceae. The record is from RNAcentral.
CGCCGUGCGGACGGCGGGCGGCGACCUGGUCGGCCCAGGUCCGGCCGGGGGUGAGCCGGCCCGCACUCUCGCUCAGUACGACGCUGAGGCCGGCGUC